GUGGCCUAGUUGGUAAAGGUAUGAACUCUGGCAAUGAAGACCUGGGUUUGAAUCCCACUCA
Molecule: transfer RNA, 61 nt
Filed under: Pleuronectes platessa (European plaice)
Lineage: Eukaryota; Metazoa; Chordata; Actinopteri; Pleuronectiformes; Pleuronectidae
Description: tRNA-Ala
Source: RNAcentral